Molecule: long non-coding RNA, 1640 nt
Organism: Saccostrea cuccullata (small rock oyster)
Lineage: Eukaryota; Metazoa; Mollusca; Bivalvia; Ostreida; Ostreidae
Exons: 7
Source: RefSeq, a predicted model, not a curated record
AUUUACAUAUAAAAACAGGGCAUGAGACCAUGGUCGCAUCUAAAUCAAAACGAGGCUAGGGCUUUCCGGAAUCGCGGUUCUCCCAUCUAUUUACCCCUAACCAUAUCCGGUUAUAAUAGAAGCCUUUCCACGGAUUCUUAAUCAAGCUUUAGAUUUAAUUAAUGCUUAAAUUUAGACGUUAGCUCUACCCUCAAACACAAUAACGGUUAGGUAGUAAGGGUUCUACAGGAUUAUACGAAGAUUUUAAAUGGAGGAAGCAGGUGUGCAUGAAGCAGCUUCGUGAAUGGUGUGUAGUCUGUUUGUCAAAAUGUGAAGCUCAGGUGUAUAUCAAGCUGUACAGCGACUAUCAGAAUUUUGGUGCAAAACAAAGAUACAAUUUUAAUCAGAUUGAUUUCAAGGUAGGAGUAGUCUCCCCUAUCAAAGAUCAGUAAUGGUGGAUAUACAAUGCUGGAUGCAGUCUGGUCAUCAACAGAGAGUUUUGACAUCCAUUAUUCAUCUCUUUAACCUUUGCUGUGUUUAUCAGACAGAUGAUGAACCAGUCUACUUCUUUUACAAGAGGUGCCCCUCCAGAUUCACAAAGUUCCAAUGUUGAGUUCCCAUGACACCUAUUCAUCCACCACAGGAAAAGGAAAUAGUUGACAGGACUUUUUGCACUGUAAUUGGAAGCAGCUUACGAUGGAACCAACAGCAGUAGAUAAAGCCAGCUGCCUGAAAGAUUUUUAAUUGGACUGUGCCACUUAUGUCAAGAGGCCCAACUUCACAGAAAAAACCUGGCUGGUUAUAAAGGAUUGUUAUAAUUUGAUACCACUUCCAGUUUUUCAAGACACAAAUGGGCAUUUCCUGAACUUUCCAGUAAUUUUUCAACAAGGAACUGUACUGUGGCUCACUUUUUAUUCAGGAGAACUUUGUUUUCGUGUAAUUACAUGAGACUUUUGAUCUCACAAAAAUUGAUUCUGUGGUACAAUAGCAUUCUGUAAAACAUAAAGAGCUACAACCACAAUUCUUGAAAAUUUUGUCUAGUUAAAAAAGAGUUUAUUCUUAUCUCAUGAGAAUAAGGUGUCUCAAAACUUAAGCAGUCUAUCUAGUGAAGUAUGUUACUUCUUAUUUUUAUCAAUACAGUGUGCUAUGUCAUAUGAGAUAUGUGAGUCUUUAAACUUUCUUGAAGAAGAACAUUCAUACUGCAUAUGUAAAUGAUACAGUAAAACUCGUUUAUAACGAAGUCGCUGGGACUUAUGAAAUUACCUAGCUAUAUCCGUAAUUUGUUAUAACCGUAUAGGAAAUUCAUUAAAUUCAUAUAGCUGGGGAUCCAAGAUGACUUCGUUAUAACCGUGAAUUGGCAAUAUCUUUGUUCAUACUAAACGAAUUUUACUGAAAAGAAAGAAUUUCAAAGUCCUUUAAUAUAAAAAAUAAAGCAACAAAAAGAAAUUCUCUGUGUUUUUAUUCCAUCAAUAUGUUUGAGAAUAAAUUGUAUCCAUGAUAUUUCCUCUCCAUUAUGUAGCACUUUGAUUUUGUUGUUCAAGAAUUUAAGUUCAACUUUGACAUUUGUUCAAGUAACCUUGACCUUUUGAGUUGUUCAAAAUUAUGGGAGAUGUCACCACAAAGAUUAAUAUGUGAUUGGAUUUUAAAAAUAAACAGGAAAU